Molecule: ribosomal RNA, 687 nt
Filed under: uncultured bacterium
Lineage: Bacteria
Description: bacterial SSU rRNA
Rfam family: Bacterial small subunit ribosomal RNA
Source: RNAcentral
GAAGGAGAUUAAAGAUUUAUCGGUGAUGGAUGGGGAUGCGUCUGAUUAGCUUGUUGGCGGGGUAACGGCCCACCAAGGUACGAUCAGUAGGGGUUCUGAGAGGAAGGUCCCCCACAUUGGAACUGAGACACGGUCCAAACUCCUACGGGAGGCAGCAGUGAGGAAUAUUGGUCAAUGGGCGAGAGCCUGAACCAGCCAAGUAGCGUGCAGGAAGACGGCCCUAUGGGUUGUAAACUGCUUUUAUAAGGGAAUAAAGUGAGUCUCGUGAGACUUUUUGCAUGUACCUUAUGAAUAAGGACCGGCUAAUUUCCGUGCCAGCAGCCGCGGUAAUACGGAAGGUCCGGGCGUUAUCCGGAUUUAUUGGGUUUAAAGGGAGCGUAGGCCGGAGAUUAAGCGUGUUGUGAAAUGUAGACGCUCAACGUCUGCACUGCAGCGCGAACUGGUUUCCUUGAGUACGCACAAAGUGGGCGGAAUUCGUGGUGUAGCGGUGAAAUGCUUAGAUAUCACGAAGAACUCCGAUUGCGAAGGCAGCUCACUGGAGCGCAACUGACGCUGAAGCUCGAAAGUGCGGGUAUCGAACAGGAUUAGAUACCCUGGUAGUCCGCACGGUAAACGAUGGAUGCCCGCUGUUGGUCUGAAUAGGUCAGCGGCCAAGCGAAAGCAUUAAGCAUCCCACCUGGGGAGUAC